GACGAACGCUGGCGGCGUGCUUAACACAUGCAAGUCGAACGGAAAGGCCCUGCUUUUGUGGGGUGCUCGAGUGGCGAACGGGUGAGUAACACGUGAGUAACCUGCCCUUGACUUUGGGAUAACUUCAGGAAACUGGGGCUAAUACCGGAUAGGAGCUCCUGCUGCAUGGUGGGGGUUGGAGAGUUUCGGCGGUUGGGGAUGGACUCGCGGCUUAUCAGCUUGUUGGUGGGGUAGUGGCUUACCAAGGCUUUGACGGGUAGCCGGCCUGAGAGGGUGACCGGCCACAUUGGGACUGAGAUACGGCCCAGACUCCUACGGGAGGCAGCAGUGGAGAAUAUUGCACAAUGGGCGGAAGCCUGAUGCAGCAACGCCGCGUGCGGGAUGACGGCCUUCGGGUUGUAAACCGCUUUCGCCUGUGACGAAGCGUGAGUGACGGUAAUGGGUAAAGAAGCACCGGCUAACUACGUG
RNAcentral lists this ribosomal RNA (468 nucleotides) under uncultured bacterium. RNAcentral describes it as "partial 16S ribosomal RNA". It matches the Rfam family "Bacterial small subunit ribosomal RNA", at positions 28 to 507 of the family's 1533-position model. The record is from RNAcentral.